RNAcentral lists this ribosomal RNA (493 nucleotides) under uncultured Bacteroidota bacterium. RNAcentral's name for it is "bacterial SSU rRNA". It matches the Rfam family "Bacterial small subunit ribosomal RNA", at positions 356 to 841 of the family's 1533-position model. Lineage: Bacteria; Pseudomonadati; Bacteroidota. The record is from RNAcentral.
GGGGUAUAUUGCGCAAUGGGCGAAAGCCUGACGCAGCAAUGCCGCGUGAGUGAAGAAGGCCUUAGGGUUGUAAAGCUCUGUCGUUAGGGAAGAAAAGCUCAGGGGUUAUAACCGUAGGCCCGGGCCGGCCCCAUACAAGAAAGCCCGGUUUAACUUGGGGCCAGAAGCCGGGUAAAUACGAGGGGGGCAAGCGUUGUCCGAAUUUAUGGGCCGAAAAGGGGCCGAAGGCGCUUUGUUAAGCCGAUGGGAAAAUCCCGGCUUAAACCGUGAAUCUGAUUUUGAAACUGCUGAUUUUGAUUGGGGAAGGGGAAAGGGGAAUUCCUGGGGUAGGGGGAAAAUGCGUAAAUAUGAGGAGGAACACCGAAGGCGAAGGCAGCUUCCUGAACCUAUACUGACGCUGAGGACCAAAAGCGGGGGAAGCAAACAGGAUUAGAGACCCUGCAAGCCCACGCCGAAAACGAUGAGACCUUGGGGUGGGAGGAUUGGACCCUUU